RNAcentral lists this ribosomal RNA (554 nucleotides) under Trichoderma virens. RNAcentral describes it as "eukaryotic LSU rRNA". The stretch from base 174 to 327 matches the Rfam family "5.8S ribosomal RNA". Lineage: Eukaryota; Fungi; Ascomycota; Sordariomycetes; Hypocreales; Hypocreaceae. The record is from RNAcentral.
GUGAACGUUACAAACUGUUGCCUCGGCGGGAUCUCUGCCCCGGGUGCGUCGCAGCCCCGGACCAAGGCGCCCGCCGGAGGACCAACCAAAACUCUUAUUGUAUACCCCCUCGCGGGUUUUUUACUAUCUGAGCCAUCUCGGCGCCCCUCGUGGGCGUUUCGAAAAUGAAUCAAAACUUUCAACAACGGAUCUCUUGGUUCUGGCAUCGAUGAAGAACGCAGCGAAAUGCGAUAAGUAAUGUGAAUUGCAGAAUUCAGUGAAUCAUCGAAUCUUUGAACGCACAUUGCGCCCGCCAGUAUUCUGGCGGGCAUGCCUGUCCGAGCGUCAUUUCAACCCUCGAACCCCUCCGGGGGGUCGGCGUUGGGGAUCGGCCCUUUACGGGGCCGGCCCCGAAAUACAGUGGCGGUCUCGCCGCAGCCUCUCCUGCGCAGUAGUUUGCACACUCGCAUCGGGAGCGCGGCGCGUCCACAGCCGUUAAACACCCCAAACUUCUGAAAUGUUGACCUCGGAUCAGGUAGGAAUACCCGCUGAACUUAAGCAUAUCAAUAAGCGGA